This 127-nucleotide small RNA is filed under the name Marmota monax (woodchuck). Lineage: Eukaryota; Metazoa; Chordata; Mammalia; Rodentia; Sciuridae. The record is from RNAcentral.
GCUGGGUGCAGUGGUGCAUGCCUGUAAUCCUAGCAACUUGAGAGGCUGAGACAGGAGGAUUGUGAGUUCAAAGCCAGCCUCAGCAACUUAACGAGGACCUAAGCAAUUCAGCAAGACCCUGUCUCAA